Molecule: ribosomal RNA, 253 nt
Filed under: uncultured bacterium
Lineage: Bacteria
Description: partial 16S ribosomal RNA
Rfam family: Bacterial small subunit ribosomal RNA
Source: RNAcentral
GACGGAGGAUGCAAGUGUUAUCCGGAAUCACUGGGCGUAAAGCGUCUGUAGGUGGUCAAAUAAGUCAACUGUUAAAUCUUGAGGCUCAACCUCAAAAUCGCAGUCGAAACUAUUAGACUGGAGUAUAGUAGGGGUAAAGGGAAUUUCCAGUGGAGCGGUGAAAUGCGUAGAGAUCGGAAAGAACACCAACGGCGAAAGCACUCUGCUGGGCCGACACUGACACUGAGAGACGAAAGCUAGGGGAGCGAAUGGG